UAGCUGUGUUUCCUGUGUGUUACCUGUGUGUUAGCUGUGUGUUUCCUGUGUGUUACCUAGUGUGUUAGCUGUGUGUUAGCUGUGUGUUUCCUGUGUGUUAGCUGUGUGUUUCCUGUGUGUUAGCUGUGUGUUACCUGUGUGUUAGCUGUGUGUUUCCUGUGUGUUACCUGUGUGUUAGCUGUGUGUUUCCUGUGUGUUAGCUGUGUGUUACCUGUGUGUUAGCUGUGUGUUUCCUGUGUGUUACCUGUGUAUUACCUGUGUGUUAGCUGUGUGUUUCCUGUGUGUUAGCUGUGUUACCUGUGUGUGUUACCUGUGCAGAUGCUGAAGGCUUGUUCUUUCUGUUCUCUUGGUUCUGCUUGUUCUCUGCAGGUCCAAUCACUGAACAGUACAACCCAUCUGGUCAGGGUCCUGAAGGUGCAGAAAAUGUGGAACUGGAGGAUACCUGCUGACUUCCACAUCAAGCCGCGAGUUCGAUUCCUGCGCUACCGAUUCCAAUGUACCGACCAAUCAGCAUGGCCCAGGAAGUCAGAACCCUCCCACUAGGAGUAGCCCCGCCCCCUGUGGACCAGCAGCCCGUUGGUGUUUUUGUAUUUAAGUUUUGUUCAUAGAUGUUCAUGUUAGAGAGAUAAAUGAGUUUCUUACCUGAAGAGGUGUUACCUGAUGACAUCACACAGGACGUGACAUCAUCUUCAACGUCAGCAAUGUCAACAAUACAAUAAAGUUUUGUCUAUUUUGAACAUCA
Long non-coding RNA from Notothenia coriiceps (black rockcod), 742 nucleotides. RefSeq lists it as uncharacterized. The record is from RefSeq and is a predicted model, not a curated record. NCBI's taxonomy places the organism in Eukaryota, Metazoa, Chordata, Actinopteri, Perciformes, Nototheniidae. The transcript has 2 exons.